UGAAGUAAAAAAAACCAGAUACAUGAUAAAUAAAGUCUAAAGCUUCUUAGUAAUGCAACAAAAUAAAAAAGAAUAGAAAUGAACAUAAGAUGCUAAAGAAUACAAGCCCUAAUUUAUAGCUUUAGUAAAAUGAACUUCAUAGUUCUACUUUCUGCAGUAUGUCACGGCACAAAGAUUUUCUCCGCGAUUUCGCUUUGCAAUCACCCAAACUCCAAAGCGGACAUCUGACGGAGGUUUUGGCUUGGAACCUUCUGGAAGCUUCUACGUGGAUCUCGAGGCUGAUUGGCGCGGAUGCCGAGGAGUCAAGAGUCCCUUGGGGUUUCUAGGCAAUAAAUGUAUGACUCUUAGAAUUCCUAUGCAUAUUUAUUAUGACUCUUGGAAGACCGUAGCGUAUUUAUUGGCCUCCCCUUUUGGCUUGUAGUUUCAUACCAUUUGGCAUCUUUUCAUUGGCUUUAUGGGUGGCGAGUGGCCUAUAUAUAGUGUGGCCUCCACCCCCUCUCAUUUCAGAAUCUACUUUGUAUUCUCAAGUUGAAGUAAUAGAAUAGCUUUCUUCUUAUCUCUCUCUUGUACUUAGUCUAGGGCGAGUGAGGUCCUAACUUGUCGAGUAGAGAGGCAGGCUUGCUCACUUCGCGAAGGAAGGCGAGCGCCGCACGGGCUUUUGCGAGCAAAUUCGUUAAGUCCGUGACAAGUAGCUCCUUUUGAAGAUUCAAAAAUCAAAAAGCACGCUAGGAGAUGAAAACCUACGGCGUAGAAGUAUCACGCAUGAUGCUUUUCCAGUAUAAAGAUUCCAACAAUUAUUUUUUAUGAUUGGACGAGCGCAAAUUAAAGUUAGUUCCAAUGGUUUUUGUGAAUAUCUAAAGCAGCAACAUUUUAC
RNAcentral lists this long non-coding RNA (874 nucleotides) under Ananas comosus (pineapple). Its description in RNAcentral is "long non-coding RNA (ACOM_LNC011161)". Lineage: Eukaryota; Viridiplantae; Streptophyta; Magnoliopsida; Poales; Bromeliaceae. The record is from RNAcentral.